Molecule: long non-coding RNA, 1351 nt
Filed under: Coturnix japonica (Japanese quail)
Lineage: Eukaryota; Metazoa; Chordata; Aves; Galliformes; Phasianidae
Description: lncRNA (ENSCJPG00005007143.1)
Source: RNAcentral
CACCUUUUAGAAAAUUCCCAUUUAAGUUCAUGAUAAAAUUAAAUUGAUUUAAUGCAUGACAGCUCAAUUUCCCAAUGAUCAUAACUGAAGUUCAGACUUCACGUUUUCAUAUCACAUUUUAAACUAUCAUUUAUGAGAAAUAUUUCUUUUCUGGAUUCAGUUAAAUAACCCUGAACACCAGUGUACCAUUAUUACAUUCAUCAAUUUGUUUGCCUGCUUGGUGACUUAAAUUUAAGCAGAGGUGACAGAGUGUAUGUGAGAAGCAGAAAAGGUCUGUGCCAGAGGGUGGUUGGCAUGGAACAGGCUGCCCAGGACAGAGGGCAUAGUCCCAAGCUGCUGGAGUUCUAGGAGUGUUGACACUGCUCUCAGUCAUGGGGUCUGAUUAUUGGGUCAUCUGUGUGGAGCCAGGAGUUGGACUUGACCCUUGUGGGUCCCUUCCUAUUUGGAAUAUGCUAUCAUUUUGUGAUUCCAUUAAAGAUCCUAGAAUCCACAUCUUGGGGAUACAGUGAUAUAACAAUAUUGAGAUACACUGUUUUUAUGCUAGUUUGUGGCAUGUAGAAUUAUGUUUUCUCUAAGUAUUUAUUUCAUGUGGAAAAGACUCCAAAUUUCAUAAAAACAGAGCAUGCCUCUAAGACAGGUCAGAUACAGAGAACAAUAAAUAAACUUUUCUGCCAAAAUCAAGAAGACCCAAGGAAAUGGCUCUAUAGCCUAAGCCCUAGCAAAGGAAAUGGACACACCAUUUGUCUUAUCUAGUCUGAUAGAGCCUGCAAGCACUGCUAAACAAUUAAGGACUUGAAAUUAGACUACAGCAUUUGUUACAAAAAUAUAUCUAUAGUCUUUGAUGACUCCACUGAGCAAAAGUUGCGUCAAGCGAGGAAGAGAAUGCUGCCUUCACCUCUUGUGCCCAAAGAUUUGCCAGCUCUGCUUCUCCCAAGUUGGUAGGAAUGAACACACUUAUAGCAGCUUUAUAAAACUUGCGUGUGAAAUGGCUGAAGCAGCAAGACUGCCCUGGUAAAUUCUCAUUGCAGCAUGAAGAAUUUGGAAAGAUAUAAUGGUAAAGCCAAAAUGCUUUUGUCAUCUAAGUCAUCCUGUUUGCUGAAUGUCUUUGAAUUAUCAAAAUGCCAUAGAUCACUUACUGUCACCUUUCUUCUAUCGUUCAGUCUCAGAUCAUCUCAAAAAAUGUAACACUUGGAAAGAUGCAAUUUCAUUUGUAAAACCCUACGUAUUAAUUUGUUGAUUAAUCCAUACCAUUAAGAUUCCCUUCCUUGAUGAAUUCUCUCACUAGGCAUGCCCUUUAUAGGUGUAUUUUUUGUUUAAUAAACUGUGUAUAUGAGAGCUCUGUUAUACUUGC